CUCUCUCUCACACACACACACACACACACACACACACAUAUACACAUGCCCGCACGCACGCGCGCACACACACACACACACACACACACACACACACACACACACACACACACACACACACACACACACACACACACACACAGGGGUUUUAUAAUAGAGAGACAGAGAGAGAGACGCAGAGAGAGACAUUAACAACCACCAGUAGAUUAGGGUCCAGAACCAGUAGAUUAGGGUCCAGAACCAGUAGAUUAGGGUCCAGAACCAGUAUAUUAGGGUCCAGAACCAGUCGGUUAGCGUCCAGUACCAGUAGAUUAGGGUCCAGAGGCAGUAGAUUAGGGUCCAGAACCAGUAGAUUAGGGUCCAGAACCAGUAUAUUAGGGUCCAGAACCAGUCGGUUAGCGUCCAGAACCAGUAGAUUAGGGUCCAGAGGCAGUAGAUUAGGGUCCAGAACCAGUAGAUUAGGGUCCAGAACCAGUAGAUUAGGGUCCAGAGUGAUUAAGAACGAGGUGGUCUGGAGGCAGGGAUAAAUCACACAUUAAAAUCAAACUCAUUUACUACCCUGAUGUCAGGGAUUACAGAAAGAUACUAAUCAAAACCCAUUGUAAAUGUAAUGAUAGUAAUGUACUGUUUUCUAGCAAUCACUCAUUAUUGCUUACUUUUUGGUUUCGCUAAAAACCACUGCUUCCCGACAAAUAACCGCUGAUACCACACUCCCACAUUACACUGAGUGGACAAAACAUUAGGAACACCUCUUUCCGUGACCUAGACUGACCAGGUGAUUACAGGUGAAAGAUAUGAUCCCUUUAUUGAUGUCACUUGUUAAAUCCACUUCAAAUCAGUGUAGAUGAAGGGGCGGAGUCAGGUUAAAGAUGAAGGGGAGGAGUCAGGUUAAAGAUGAAGGGGAGGAGACAGGUUAAAGAUGAAGGGGAGGAGACAGGUUAAAGAUGAAGGGGAGGAGACGGGUUAAAGAUGAAGGGGAGGAGACAGGUUAAAGAUGAAGGGGAGGAGACAGGUUUAAGAUGAAGGGGAGGAGACAGGUUAAAGAUGAAGGGGAGGAGACAGGUUAAAGAAGGAUUUUAAGCUUUGAGACAAUUGAGAUGUGGAUUAUGUCUGUGUGCCAUUCAGAGGGUGAACGGACAAGACAACAUAUAUAAGUGACGUUGAACGAGUUCUGGUAGUAGGGGCCUGUUUGAGUGUGUCAAGAACUGCAAUGCUGCUGUUUUUUUAAAUACCCUCAACAGUUUCCUGUGUGUAUCAAGAAUGGUCUACCACCCCAAAGGACAUCCAGCCAACUUGACACAACUGUGGGAAGCAUUGGAGUCAACAUGGACCAUGCAUCCCC
Long non-coding RNA from Oncorhynchus tshawytscha (Chinook salmon), 1342 nucleotides. Lineage: Eukaryota; Metazoa; Chordata; Actinopteri; Salmoniformes; Salmonidae. The record is from Ensembl.